UACUUCCUCACUCAAGAACUAUAUGCCAGUCUCCUUUUUGUAACAGGUGGACAAGGAGGGCUGAAAAAAACAUGGCACUAAAGCACUACCUGAGAGAGGUGAAGCAUGCUAGUAUCCACAAAGCCAAGACCUCUCCUGUUUUUUGUACCCCUUGCCAGUAAGGAAGCACAAGAAGUUUGGAGGUGACACUGCAAGAACAGCUGACCCCAAGUGACCAAAGGGA
This is a long non-coding RNA of Lepidothrix coronata (blue-crowned manakin), 223 nucleotides long. RefSeq lists it as uncharacterized. NCBI's taxonomy places the organism in Eukaryota, Metazoa, Chordata, Aves, Passeriformes, Pipridae. The record is from RefSeq and is a predicted model, not a curated record. The transcript is spliced from 3 exons.